This 107-nucleotide small nuclear RNA is filed under the name Zalophus californianus (California sea lion). Lineage: Eukaryota; Metazoa; Chordata; Mammalia; Carnivora; Otariidae. The record is from RNAcentral.
GUGCUCACUUCAGCAGUACCUAUAUUAAAGUUGAAAUGAUACAGGGAAGAUUAACAUGGCCCAUGUGCAAGGAUGACAUGCAAAUACAUGAAGCAUUCCAUAUUUUA